GGAGCCGUAGUUUAGCUGGUUAGAAUGCCGGCCUGUCACGCCGGAGGUCGCGGGUUCGAGUCCCGUCGGCUCCGCCA
Molecule: transfer RNA, 77 nt
Filed under: Nautilia lithotrophica
Lineage: Bacteria; Pseudomonadati; Campylobacterota; Epsilonproteobacteria; Nautiliales; Nautiliaceae
Also listed under: 8 other names
Description: tRNA-Asp
Rfam family: tRNA
About the family: Transfer RNA (tRNA) molecules are approximately 80 nucleotides in length. Their secondary structure includes four short double-helical elements and three loops (D, anti-codon, and T loops). Further hydrogen bonds mediate the characteristic L-shaped molecular structure. tRNAs have two regions of fundamental functional importance: the anti-codon, which is responsible for specific mRNA codon recognition, and the 3' end, to which the tRNAs corresponding amino acid is attached (by aminoacyl-tRNA synthetases). tRNAs cope with the degeneracy of the genetic code in two manners: having more than one tRNA (with a specific anti-codon) for a particular amino acid; and 'wobble' base-pairing, i.e. permitting non-standard base-pairing at the 3rd anti-codon position.
Source: RNAcentral